Non-coding RNA from Triticum urartu, 11866 nucleotides. NCBI's taxonomy places the organism in Eukaryota, Viridiplantae, Streptophyta, Magnoliopsida, Poales, Poaceae. The record is from RefSeq and is a predicted model, not a curated record.
CACGGCCGCACAUGGAGGGCCAGGGCGAAGACACGGCCACGGUGGUGCAGCCUGUGGUCCACAUCGCCGGCAAGAAGAACCACCACGAGGUCGGGUCACGGUGGUGCAGCCUUUGGUCUUCAUCGUCUACCACUCCGCCGUCUUCGGCAACCCCCACCACUUCCGCGUCAAGAAUACAAAGAUCCAGAAAUUUUCACAUACCUAGAGGACCUCGCCUUCUUGGUGCUCCUUGCUUACAUAAGGUACUCCUAGGGAAUUGGUGCUCCAAGUAUGGGUAUUAUGAUCCUUUGCUAUCUGUGAUGGGCAAAGGGAGAGUAAGGAGGGGGGGUGAGGGAUGGCAGAGGAGGUUAACAUAUAUAGAUGCACCUAAUGCAUCAUCGACCUGUUACAACGUCAACAUCGACUGGGUACGAGCGGCCGUAGGUCACAAGGGGGCGUGGAACUGUUGCAGACCAUUUGUGACAGAGCAUAAUCCAGCGACUUUGCCCAGCUCGGUACAUCCUCUACACGACUACAUCGUAGCAACUUGAAGAAAAUUAUUCCUUUUUUUGCUUCCAAGACCUGAUAAUCUCCUCGAUGAUGUAUCGAGGUGCCGUGACCCGGCCUCAAAGGCAGGGCCUGGGCGAAGAGGUAUCCCCGACGGCCAAGACAAGGCCACGGUGGUGAAGACCGUGGUGAGACAGAGCUGACUCCAGCGAAUUUGACCAGCCAGUGCAAAUGUGUCCCUUGAUCAACUAAACUGGGUGAAUGUAAAAUCAUGGGGAGCCUUGAAGCCUUCUAAUGCAAAUAAUGCUGGAAAUGAUCGUUGGAUUUCAUUAACACUUGAACAUGAGGAACACAUAAAAGAUAAUCAGCGUUUAUUUGCAAGGAUGGAAUUGAAGGAAUCGGCGAGAGAGGCAGAUAAAGGAGAACUUGGAACUUAUAUAAUAUAUGCAAGGUACGUGCCGUAUGACAAUCAUAUUUUUAUUGACUACUCGCUAGCUGGAAUGUGUUUUUUACUACGAAGAAAACCUCGUAUAGUAUAGCAGUGCGUGUAUGGAUGGAGUUAUACUAUACGAGGUAGUAUAUGUUGCGAGGCACUGAAUAUCUGAAAACAUCACCUGCCGGUCUAUGAGUACGUUGUGAACCUAUCAUGGUCUAACACAAAAGUAUUCCGGUGCAUCUGGAGCACCAAACCUGGUCCAAACUAAUAUGGCCUUCUUCCCGUAAAAUUUAGAUGGACGGAAGGAUAGAUAUAUAACCAACAAAGCUAGGGGAUGCCAACAUCAAUCUAUAGCUAGUGGAUACCAACCAACAUAAAUAUAAGAGAAAAUGUCAACUGAUCAUCUGAUCAGCACGGGCAUUGAAACAGAUAUUUCCUAGAAAGCAACUAAACAUCAUUUUAUUAUAAGGUAUUUAUCGAUGCAGAAGUCCUCCUUAGCCACCAAUAAAUCUCAACGCUACUCUAACUUGCUCUGGAAUGUUAUCCUUUGCUUCGUUAUCCCUAACCAUCAACAGCUGGACCAUUAGUCGCUUCCUGAGACUUUGUGGAUCCUACAAAUUGUGCAUAAACAAAGUCAGAAGAUAUAUUUAGCAAAUAUAUGCAAUCUGUAACCUCAUUACAAAAUCACUUACGUCAGUCCUAGGCAUGUUAUGAACCAUGUCAUUACCGAUGGUUUCAUACAGAUGGGCCAUCUCCUGUAGAACUUUGAAUCCGGAGUCCAUACUGUCACCAAAAAAACAUAUUGUAUUAGCUAUAUUAGAGCACGCACUAAUAUGCAAGCCAAAUUUAGAAUAGUACCGCCGAGGUGAAACAUGAAUGUUAUCUUGUUCGGGCCAUUCCACAAGUUGGCUGUUCCUAUCAGGGGCCUCCUGUUGCAAUACAGAGCUGAAUUCUUGCUUCACUAAAAGGGCUUCCCUCUGAAGUUCAGUGCCUUGGGGGUCCUCCUCAAAAUGAAACACAUCCUGGUUCGAAUAAUCAAUAACGAUAGUCCUCUCCAUUUCCAUGUUCACUGCUAAAAGACCGUAGGACGAAUCCACGAGUGACAGUGGUAGAAGAUACUGCAUUUGGUAGACAAAGGUAAAUGUCAAACAAAGUAACCAACUAAUUUGUAAGAAUGAGAACACUUACAAUUGUAGGGGUGUGAAACACGUCGUAUCUUGGAAAAGGCUCAAGCACAACAUUGUUAAUCAGUGCAUUGGUGCGCUGUUCUUGGCUUAACCAAGUCUGCCUUAGCGCCCGUGCUUGCACAUGGAAUCCCAAAUUGAGAAAAUGUGUCUUUCCAACAGAGUUGGUGCCUGCGCUCCUCUCUGCUGCGUCGGUAGUAAUCUUACGCACAGCUAGAUUGAAGCAUAAUGGAUGGACAAGUCCAUCUCCUAGGAUGGUGUCUCGGAUGAUCCGUAGGCUAAUCUCGAUAGGGAAUGGGCGCGGGCUCCUAAUCGAGAUUGUGCUGUAAAAAAUGAAGAUCAAGGUUCAUACCAAUGAUAUGACUUCAAGUAAUCCUAAACUCAAACGAUAAAACUGUGUUGCUGUCUAUAAGAUAUGAAUAAUUAAACAAUAGUAUAUAUCACAUUAAAUGACCUAAAAGAUAUUGUAAUCUCUACCAAGUUAAGUAUUUUAAUAUUAUGUACGGGCAAUAAACUAACAGAUUGAAGUGUUUUCGUAGUAGUACAUGGACCUGCAUAAAAAUUGUUGUAGAUUUUGGAUGAAAAAAUUCAACAUGUAGUUUAUAGCUUGUUCAACAUUGUUGUAAAAGGUGUUAGACCCCAUAGUUUUGGGCCACAGUUUCAUACGUAUUUCGUUUCAUACUUAUCAGCUAUUUAUGUUAGACGCCGCAAAACACUGGUUUUAGACACAAUUUACCAAUACAAAUAUAAUAUCUGGUAACAACCAUUAAUAUGUAUUUAUAUACUUGUAUAAGAAAAAUAACUACACAUUCAGCCUUUGUAACAGACGUCUGAACUUAGACAAAGACCACGUGAUCCUAACCAGGGUAUAUCUUCUAAUCUAAAUGUAAAGUAUAUAUGUACAGGGCAGGAAGACUUUUUAUGGGGGUAUAUCUUCUAAAUGCAAAGUAUACAUGUACAUGGCAGUGGACUUAGACGAUGAAGAGCAAAAAAUAUUAGAUCUAUCGGGCCGUGAGAACUUACUCUAGUAGUUCUUCGUCUGAGGAAAGUGCUAUGAAAUCGUACACGUAGUUGACGGCGUGUCGCACUCCCCCAAAAUUCGCCAUUGCUUCCAUUGACGGGGCAAAAACUCGGUCGUACAACUGGUAAAGCGAGAGAGGAAGGAGCCCGUAGGAUUUUAUUGAGUAUAUAUGAGGCCGUGGGGAAUUGUGCGACAACAGUUAGGAAGGUGCACCCUGUCCUUCCUUAUUUGCAUGUUUCCAUAAAAAAAUACUAUCAACAAAAUCGGCAAGAUAUUUGUUUUGAUUAGACUAUGCAAAAAACCAGUAACAGAUUAAAAGUUGCCUAAAUUAUGUCUCCCUUACCCCAUAACUUUCCCAAAUGAAAAAAAUCAAAGAAACCGGACUUACUCUGUCGUGAGGAAGUGCAACACUCGAUGCCCACCCAGAAAGCGUUGUUGGCUGCGUGUUUUGUGGGGCCCAGUGUUUGUCCCCCUCUAAAUAAAUCUCCGACCCCUGAUUUGAAUGGUGGGGCCCUGAUUUAUUUCCCUAUCAAAUUUGCCCCCCUGAUUUCAACUGUGGGGGCCGGUGCCUUUCCUCUAAUAAAUAUUUUCCCCACAUUUCUUUUGUGGCGGGAACCAAGCUUACCAUUAACCAGACAGCUCAGCAGAGUCGCUAGCUACAAGAGCGUCCACAAACUCAGGUGCUUGAUCCUGCCACAUGACUGGGGCUAACGCAUCCAUUACUUUAUUACACAUCCUGGGGCAAAACGAAAAUACCACUUGGUUAAAGUUUAAUCUAGCAAAGAAUAUUAUUUCUUUGAAUAACACUCCAUUGGCAGCGAGGUCAAGGUCGCUGGUGUUAACAGCCUGGACCUAGUUGAGUGAAUCUGUCUGAGCUUGCACUCCCGUCAUAACCCAGCCGCCUCGGGAAAAAUUAUCAGGAAAGCGCUACACGCUAAUCAUGCAUUUGGCCAACAAUUAUUUAGAUAUCUACAUCACAAGCGUUAGGCUUUAAUUCUUUAGUGUGAGGAAAUAGCCCAGAUGGUCUGCCCUGGCCCACUUAAACACAGGGACAUAUUGUGGUUCCCCUACUAAAGAUCGGUAUGUGCAUAGUCUACUGAUGCCACCUCUCCCCCUCGUCCUCUAUCCUUGAUGCAUCAUGGCGCCUCUCUCCCUCAUCCUCUAUCGAUUGCAACACUGAUCGGGAACCGGAAUGUGAAGCUCGAUUUCUAGCUUGAGAAGCUAGACCCCUCGCCGGAAUAAGUUGCUUUGUUGUCGGAGCGGUUGAAUCCUCGUAGGGUAGGAGAUAUGAUUGUGGGUGAGAUUGUUUUUUAGCUAUCAAAUGUGGCUCAAUGAUCAUUGACGUCAGACAAACAGAAAUUACCAAAACAACAAACAUAACAGCAAAACCAACUUGUAGUAGUACCAAAACUCCAAUUAGUUCUUAAAUAUUGUAAACCCAAAAACAAAAAUUAUAGUUUCAAUCCAUAACCAAACAUGACAAGAUGAUUGAAGUAUUCCUGACGGUUCUGCAUGCAUAGAAGCAUAUUUAGUUGUUCAAAACCCUCAAGGCCGCCGUAAUCUCCUGAGGGAUGUUUCCAGCAGCUAGAUUGUCUUUGACCAUGAGCAUCUGGACUGCCACUUGGCUCCUGAGCAUAAUUGGAUCCUAGAAACAAUGAAACAAAUUCACCAUGAAAUGCCGAAGUGGUUGGAUUAUAAAUGGUACAUUAAAACUCGUCAUAAAGAUAAUUACUGUAGUGUUCAUCCAGGUCAUGCUACGCAAAGAACCUAGCUGGUGGGCCAUCUCUUGUAGAACUAAGAAACCCGAGUCUUUGCUGUGACAAACAGAAUAAAAACUUGAGAUUUCUACAUACUGCAUCUUAUUCAUCUGAAAAAUUUAUUAAAUUACCGCCGAAAAUUGAAUGACAUGUUGUCUUGUCGCCAAUCCAUGAGUUCGGUGUUCCAUUCAAGGACCCUAGCCUGCAACACUUCAUUGAGUUCUUGCUUCAAAAUAGUGAUUUCCUUCAUCAUCUCUUUGUUGUGAGAGCUAUUUCCCACUUGUCGUACGUCUAGUGAUGGAUUAAAUACGAUAACCCUUCUCCUCAUCCGAUUUACCACAAGUAGACCAUACGAGGAAUCCGGGAUAGACAACGGAAGUAGAUACUACAUAAGGUCAACACACGUUAAUUGCUAUCAGGAAAGAAAAAAUAAUUUAGGAAUUAAAAACUCUUACAAUUGUGGAGUUGAACACAUCAUAUCGAGGAAAGGGCUGUAGAACAGCAUUGUUGAUCAGCAUCGAGGUGCGCUGCCCUUGCGGCAUCCAUGAAUACCUUAGAGCUCGUGAUUGAGCAUGGAACUGCAAGUCAAAAUAAUGUUUUCCUCCAACCAUGUUGGUGCCUGCAUGCCUCUCUACUUCAGCGCUAGCAAGCUUACGAACAGCGAGAUUGAAGCAAUCGGGAUGUAGACUUGCGGACGUUACAAAUAGUGUGUCCUUCAGCAUUCUGAGGCUGAUUUCGAUCCGGUACGGUGUAUCGCUUAUCCAGAUUGAGCUGCACGUAAAAAUACAUAAAAAUGGUUAGCAAUAUGAGUGGUACUUUAAAACAUAAAAUUGUUCAUAUGGUAACAUUUUCUAGAUAAUCUAAUAGCUAUGAGCAGAACGUAAUAUUUUGAUAAACUAUAGAGCAUGAAAAUUGUUUCAGCACCUUCUAGCAAAAGCUAAAAUUAAAUAAUAACUUAUCUGUAAGAACAAUAUUAAUUUGUUAGAAAUUAAGAGCAGGAAAAUUUAGGUAGCACCCAUUAUACCAAGUUUGCUGGCUGUUCAAAAACAAUAUUAAAUUGUUGUACAAUAUAGUAAGGACAUUAAGUUGUUCAACAUUUGUACUGCAAAUAAUAUUAGAAUUUUGUUAUUCAUUACAUACUGUAGAUGUGCAACGGAAAUACUGCCAAAACAUUUAACAAAAAAUAAUUUUGUACUGUUGGCCGCAAAAAGUAAGAUUUAAUCUAAAGAAAAACAAAUCAAGCAAUAUCAUACUCCUAUAUCAAACUGAGUCUGCUGUGUACGACCUAGUUCUAAUAAGAUUUCUUUAGAGAAAAUAAACAUACAAUACCAUAACUUACUCUAGUGUCUGCUCAUCAUGAAUGCCGUUCAUGAAGCCGAAUAUAUAUCCGAGUGCAUCUUCCACGAAAUGCCUUGGUGGGGGCAGAAGAUGCAGGGGUGCGGGCAAAUCCUCCUGGGGGUCGGCCACAGCAUCGUGUAUCUGGAGGGCAGCCUCAUUGGGGUCGGGGGCAGCGGCAUCCAGGGGCCUGGGCACAGAAACCUCCUCGUAAGUGCGCGCUGCCACAACCUGGACCGCCGGCGCAUUGUUUCCAAUGAUGGGCUCCAUCGCUGAUCGAUACGCGUGAGUGAUCGUUCUAUGACUAGUGUCUGCUCAUCAUGAAUGCCGUUCAUGAAGCCGAAUAUAUAUCCGAGUGCAUCUUCCACGAAAUGCCUUGGUGGGGGCAGAAGAUGCAGGGGUGCGGGCAAAUCCUCCUGGGGGUCGGCCACAGCAUCGUGUAUCUGGAGGGCAGCCUCAUUGGGGUCGGGGGCAGCGGCAUCCAGGGGCCUGGGCACAGAAACCUCCUCGUAAGUGCGCGCUGCCACAACCUGGACCGCCGGCGCAUUGUUUCCAAUGAUGGGCUCCAUCGCUGAUCGAUACGCGUGAGUGAUCGUUCUAUGAGGUGUCUUGGCAAUUAAGAUGUCUAUGCAGCAUAUAUAUAAACGGAUAUAUUUUUAAUGCUUUUUAUUGCCUGCCAAAUAUAUCAAGUCAUUUUUAAGACGUAGAUGAUUCUUUCUAAUUAUAAAAAAAACGUGACGGGGGCGUAUCAGAUCUUUCUCCUUUUUGCUAGGCCUGUAAGGGGGAUUGUGAUGCAUUCUUUGCACGGUGUUUUUUUCCUUAUUUCAUAAUUGGCCUUCCUAUGUGCACUUGACUCCCCCUUCUCAAUCACCGACAUGCUUUUGCGGCGCUGCAUGCGCUUCACUCAUAUAUUUUCAUUCAUUGUUUCUCUGUCCUCCACCGUUAAAUCGUCAUUUUUCUUCUGAUGGCAUGCGUAGCUACUUGCGUUUUUCUGCUCCCUUUGCUUGUUUGUUAAGUUAUGUUUCCUCUCAUUGUCUCUUUGCCUCCUUGCUAGAAUAGUGUCCUGAAUGACAGAUGCGUCUACAGUUGAAGGGGGACAUGUUGCUCCCUCAUUCAUUGAUUCUGUAACACUAGAGCUUUUCAUAUCGUCUGGUUCAAUCAUAUUUUUCAAAACAUAGUUACACCAGAUUGAUUUAUCGGCUCUGAGGAGUGCCAUCUUGAUUAGUACGGCCUGACAACGAAAGGGAUACUGAACGUAAGCGUAUACCUGAAGUAUCAGAUGGACGUUUGUUUUGAUCUUCGAUACGCUUAGCCUUGUUCCUCCAAUAAGCAGCUCGCCGCAGGGCGUUUCUAUGAUCUCUCUUGCGUUCAUCUUCUGUUUUCUGCUCUGUUACUUGUGUGUCAUUCAAAUUCACAUCUGGAUACAUUUCACACAAUCCCGAAAAUGAGUGAGCAUACCAAUGAAAUUUUCGCAAUUGCUGCUUUAGUAGGAAAACGAUUGAUUACCAUGUAGAUCGUUGUAAUUAAAGAUCCCAGAUGAUAUAGUAGUUGUAUCAGGAAAUUCUGACGCCUCAUACUCGAUUGAGGUAUAGUUAGAGCUAGUGGGGUUGUCUGUUGAACCAGACAAUCCAAACAUAUUAAUGCUGAAUUAGUAAGACGGUUCUGACCAUAAUGGUUAAAUCGUAAUAAGCUUACCUGAUAAAUUAAGGGUCUGUGCAUGUUCAACUUGGACAUUAUGUUGUUUCUUUCGCCGAUAGGAAGCCCUCCUCGGAGCGUUUCUAUGGUCUCUCUUGCGUUCUUCCGUUUGUUGCUCUGUUUCUGUGGUGUCAGGCAAGAUUACACUCAUAUCUAGUGUCAUUCAGAACAUUCCCGAAAAUUAGAUAAUAAAACAGAUACAUGCAAGCAAUGUUUACCUUGAAGCUCGUUAUCAUUGAUUAGUCCAGAUGAGACAACAGUUGAACUCGGAAAUGUUGUAGUGCUGGUUGGGUUGUCUGGUGAACCAGAUAUUACAAAACAUAGUAAUGCUUAGUGGUUAAGAUGGUACCGAGUACAAUGUUUUAACAUUUUAAAAUUACCUGAUAAUAGAAGGGUCAGUGCAUUUUCAUCUCGCACAUUGGGUUGAUUUUUCCGCCGAUAUGAAGCCCUCCUCAUUGCAUUUAUAUGGUCUCUCUUGCGCUCUUCUUCCGUUUUAUGCUCUAUACGUCUGGUAUCAUUCAAGAUUACAUUUGCAUCUGGUGUCAUACAGGGCAAACCCCAAUAUUAGAUAAUAUAACAGAUACAUGAGAGGCAUUGCUGAAUGAGUAGGCAAAAUAUGUUUACCUUGUAGCUCUAUGUCAUUAAUGAGACCAGAAGUGACGGUAGUUGUACCAGGAAAUGUUGACGCGUCAUGCGAGAUUGAUGUAUAGUUAGAGCUAGUUGGGUUGUCCGGUUAAACGCGGGUGUCCAAUCAUAUGUCAGCUUAACGGUUUAGAUGGUACGGACCCUCAUGUUAAAACAAUAUAAGCUCACCUGAUGAAUGAAGGGCAUGUGCAUUUUCAUCUCGCCGACUGAAAGCCAUUUCCAGUGCGUUUAUUUGGUCUAUUUUGCAAAAAUCUUCUGUCAUUCGUGUAUAUAGUUUGAUGCCAUUAAAGUCGCCGAAUGAGAAAACAAAGACUUUGCAUCUAAUGAACAUGGAGAUUAUGAUAUCAUAUUACCUUCUUUAUCUCUCACACAACGGGCAUCGGAUGCGCCCGUAGCUUCAUGAGGGUAUGUUGCAUCAUUAGGCAAGACUGAGGUAUAGUCCGAGCUAGCUGAAUUAUAUGAUUCAACAAGCUAGGUCAGUAAUAAUUAUUUAAGUUGCGUAAAAAGUGACUGCCUUCGUGCAAACACAGCAUAGACGGGACGUGGAUCAAUUUACCAACCAUGAUAAUCUCGUCUGGGUUUAUUUAUCUCCCUGUCUUCGAGAACAUUUGUGAUAUCACAUAGAGAUUGGCAACGGGCUUGUUAAGGAGUAUUAGUAUUGGUCUAGGAGUCCUUAUUAGUCUAUGUUUAGUUUCCUUGCACCUCAAGUCAUGUGUAAUAUAUAUAUGCCCCUUGGGCCUUCAAUAAAGAUAAGUUGCUUUCCUAACAUGGUAUUAGAGCCUAGGUUUAGGUCUCCGGACGCUGCAACUCGUCCUUACGAACCAAUUUUUUUUUCUCCACCUAUAUCGAUCUGUUCUGGGUCGAUCUCGUCUUCUGCCAUCGUUCCCAAGCUGCGUGGGCACCUACCACGUACCACGGAGCACCUGCCGCCCAGCUGCUUCGGUCGAUCCAAGCCGUGAUGCCCGUGACGCCGGUGACGUGUGCCUGCCCAGCCGUGAUCGCCCGCAAGGCAGGAUGCCUCGACCUGGUUGGCUACGGCGCCGCGUACACACGCGUGCGCCAGAUCAAGUUACUACCCCGUUCCAAUCCAAAUCGAGGCCGCCUCAUCCAGCUAAGGCCGAUGACGGCUGCUCCGCCCGCGUGUACUCCUCCCGGUUGGCUGCUGCUCUGCUCCCGCACGUCCAUCUGCGUGCUGCUACUGUUCCCGCUGCCCUUUGCUGCUCUGCUCAGCUGCUGCGUUCCUGCUAGCCUGCUAGUUGCUGCGCAUGUGUUGAGUAAAAAAAAAGCUUCACGUUCCUUCUGCUGCCACUGCUGCUAGUCUUUUAGUCAUUGCAUCUAGUCUACUAUGCUUUCUAGUUUUCUUUGUUUUUCACUGCGUCCACCAAAUCCGUUGAUAUUUUGUGUUUCUCAUGCCAUGCGAGUCCAACAUACCUUUGUCCGUCAGCCUUUUUCUGGUCAUUGUCCUCUGUAUAGGAUUUCUGUGGCCUCUCUUUGCAUUGUUGAUCUAAGCCCAUUCUCUUGCCGCCGAGCUUCUUUCGCCGUCGGUUUUCAUGGGCCAUGAUUCUUUAAGCAAUGCUUCUUCUCUUGAUGUGCCAUCUUCUUUCGACAACCCAUCUUCUCUUGAUACUUCUUUUGUAUCUUCUAUUGAUGCGGUGUCUUUCUCUGAUGUGCCAUCUCUUCAUUAUCCCCUUUGGCGACUCGACAGGUUUUGAAGACUCUUCAUGCUACGGCGACACUCUCAAGACAUGGAUCUGGAUUAUCAUUUUUUUAGUAUUACACUUCUUCAAAUGCAAUGCUAUUGCAUACGCUUUGCAUUUGAGGGGGGGUGUUAAGGAGUAUUAGUAUUGGUCUAGGAGUCCUUAUUAGUCUAUGUUUAGUUUCCUUGCACCUCAAGUCAUGUGUAAUAUAUAUAUAUAUGCCCCUUGGGCCUUCAAUAAAGAUAAGUUGCUUUCCUAACAGGGCUGACUACCCACUGAAACUAUGUUUAUCCAAACAACCUGGCUUGAUAUUGCGAUAAGCCGCCCGCCUACGAGCGUUGAUAAGAUCCCUAUGAUCUGAUGUGCAACAUAGUAUUAGCAUCAUAUCAUCUCUAAUCAAGGAUGUAGGUUAAUACAACGUAUCUUGUGCAAAAUAUAUAUAUGAACAACAAACUAAGAGCAGCGAUCAACAUCACGUUAAUCAACUCACUAGUUUUAGCAAGUACAGGCUGAUUCUCAUCUUGUAAGUUGACAAUAUCAUUAUCUUUUUUCUUCCGAUAAGCAGCACGCUUCCGUGCAUUGUACUGCUCCCUUGCUUCCUCAGCGUAUUUUCUACAUUCAUUAAUUAAAGAUCCAGUUUCAGCCUUUUCGUAAGCUGUGUUGUCUGCAUCAUGUUGUCCAGGUAUUACCCAUUCUGAUCCAUAUGUAGAGCUCGAGUCAGCAUGAUUACAAAACCAAUGUAUGCCUCGUAUGCAUGCAGAAAAAAAGUAUAUCUUCAAUGAAGUAGCUAACUGUAUGAAGUAGCUACCUGUUUCGGUCGUGUAUAUUGGGUCAACAAUUGCAGCCACUGUUACGUUGCUUUGAUUAUAUUCUUCCAGAUUUGUCUCGUUCGUAGGGGCUGCGGAACAUUAAGCAUGAUGCAUGACAUUGUCAGAUAUGCACGUCAGGCAAUACCAGCCAGUUUAUUUCAUACAGUUAUAUACCAUGUUGCGUCGCGUAAAUAGCUUCAUGUUUCUCAUCAAAGGGUAUCAAGGUUGGACUGUAUUCUACAUUUUGUUCACUCGCUUGACCUGUACAUUAUUAUGCAAAAAGCUUGUUACUGUCAGAAAUGCAUGUAAAACUGGUGCAGUGCUUAAUACCUGUAGCUACGUCCUCUUCUUUUUGAUGUUCACCGGCUUUGCUUUUUGCAUUACCCAUUCGCAACUGGAAUGACCGCUACCUCCGUCUUGAGGCCUGGAAGACACAUAAAGGAAACCUGACUCGGAUGGAGAUAGUAGAUUCAAGAUGAAAGCAAGAGAGAUGGUGCAUGCACAAUAUGAAGCACAAGCUUUUGGAUGUCUUCAAGUGGUGAUUAGAGAUAAAGUACUUAUGGAAGCCAUGAAAUUUGCAUCUACUAUGUGAAAGCAUCUCUGUGAAAGCACUCGCAAGAGGAGUAAAAUGAUAACGCCAUGGCUGUAUGACAUGCGAUGGAUGUACGAGAUGUGAGAUGUGUGAGAUGCGAACAAUGAUCAAGUAUGUGACUGUUGUAUGAGAUGUGUGAGAUGUGAGAUGUAUGAGAUGUGUGAGAUGUAUGUGACUGCUGUAUAUAAUAAUACCUGUAGAUCGGAUCC